CUGGCUCAGUUAGUGCACCUGAGGUGUGCAAAGAAGGGCACUGGGCAUGCGCAGGAUCCUAAGUACCCUUUAAGGGAGGAACUCAGAAAACUGGACUAAGAGUAAGGCCUUUUUUCAUUGAACAUGUCUCAAAGUUCUGGAAAACUUAGAGCUAGAAUGAUAUUUUUAGAUAUAAAUAAAUAGCUUCAUGGCACCAGCCUUCCUCCUUCUUUGUGCAAAGGCCAUGUCCAGGAAUCCAGCCCACCCCAGUGCAUGUUCACCUUCACCCAGCUACCUCCUACCUCGUAUCGCCACCUGUAAGUGGAUGACAGAGCAUCUGCAUUGCUCAUCUACUUUGCUAUGCACUGCUGCCUUCAGAGGAUCACAAGAAUACUCUGAGCCAGGCUCAAGAACUGGGUAUCCUGCCACCUCAAACUGGCUUUCUGGGGCAAACUAUUUUUCCUUCAUCAAGCCAUGCUGAGGCCAGCUGGCAGGGACACAGGUUCUGAAUGGAGAAAGUUGGAGAACAGAUUGGCAUUGGGAGAAGACCUAUCUUCUUUCAAAGCUUAACCCAAACACACAGAGAGAUGACCAUGAAGACCUGGGUUCUCCUACUCAUCAUGCUCAUCUAUGGGAUUGUGAUGCUUCUGCCUGUGCUGGGGAGCCUCAAGAACAAGAUUUUUUUUCCAGCUGGAAGAAUAGUCACUGAGCAGUGCUGGGUACAGCCUCCAUUAAAGUAUUGUGAGAAGAGGUGCACUAAAUUACAAGAGUGUUUAUCUCCCAAUCAUACAUGCUGUUGGACCUUCUGUGGAAACAUCUGCUUGGACAAUAGAUUUCUAAAAUAAGAAAUGAUAAAUUAUGAAGAAUUCAUUUCAGCAAUGAGAGGAGUAGAAAACAUAAGAGAAGGAAAGUACCUCAGGAGAAACCAGUGCCCAGCCAAGAAGUGGUGCCUGGAGGAGAUGAGGCAGAACCAGAUGGGGCAGUGAGAAUCGAGUCAUGUGUUCUCCCAACUCCACACCCCAAAGCCCUUCACUAACCCCUGCAGGACCUAGUAAAAUCCUGGGUCUCCUGCCAGGUUCACACUCAAACAUCCAGAGUUAACAUCAUGAAGUGGUUGGUUCUCCAGUUGCUGACACUCUACUGCCUGAUGAUCAUGCCAGUGACAGGAAAGAUGAAAGAAAGAGUUGAGGUUGUAACGCAGCGUCCAGUUUACAUUGUACCAAAACCGGAACUAUUACACUGUGCGAAUAUGCCCAACUACCAUGACUGCCAGAGAAAGUGCGAGUUUUACUCGGAUUGUAUUAUUGGCUAUGAAUGCUGCUUGUCCAUCUGUGGAAAAAUCUGCAUGAAAAUCCCAGAACCUGAGACCAGCACUAACAACAAUAACCCCAGCAGCACAGUGGUUUCUACUGUUGUUCCUUUAACCACCAGUGAGAUGUCGAGUAUACCUAAAGGGCAACCAACUAAUUCUACCUGAUGCCCAGUGGUACCAUCGUCUUGUCCCAGCUGGGAGGCAAGGGGAG
Molecule: non-coding RNA, 1502 nt
Organism: Leptonychotes weddellii (Weddell seal)
Lineage: Eukaryota; Metazoa; Chordata; Mammalia; Carnivora; Phocidae
Source: RefSeq, a predicted model, not a curated record